Molecule: ribosomal RNA, 466 nt
Filed under: uncultured bacterium
Lineage: Bacteria
Description: partial 16S ribosomal RNA
Rfam family: Bacterial small subunit ribosomal RNA
Source: RNAcentral
GAUGAACGCUGGCGGCGUGCUUAACACAUGCAAGUCGAACGGUGAAGGCGGAGCUUGCUCUGCUGGAUCAGUGGCGAACGGGUGAGUAACACGUGAGCAAUCUGCCCCUGACUCUGGGAUAAGCGCUGGAAACGGCGUCUAAUACUGGAUACGAGCUGCGAAGGCAUCUUCAGCAGCUGGAAAGAACUUCGGUCAGGGAUGAGCUCGCGGCCUAUCAGCUUGUUGGUGAGGUAACGGCUCACCAAGGCGUCGACGGGUAGCCGGCCUGAGAGGGUGACCGGCCACACUGGGACUGAGACACGGCCCAGACUCCUACGGGAGGCAGCAGUGGGGAAUAUUGCACAAUGGGCGAAAGCCUGAUGCAGCAACGCCGCGUGAGGGACGACGGCCUUCGGGUUGUAAACCUCUUUUAGCAGGGAAGAAGCGAAAGUGACGGGACCUGCAGAAAAAGCGCCGGCUAACUACG